This 74-nucleotide ribozyme is filed under the name Crocodylus porosus (Australian saltwater crocodile). RNAcentral's name for it is "Mammalian CPEB3 ribozyme (ENSCPRG00005006644.1)". It matches the Rfam family "Mammalian CPEB3 ribozyme". From Rfam's summary of the family: The mammalian CPEB3 ribozyme is a self cleaving RNA located in the second intron of the CPEB3 gene which belongs to a family of genes regulating messenger RNA polyadenylation. This ribozyme is highly conserved and found only in mammals. There is currently only one other known self cleaving ribozyme in mammals, the CoTC motif. Lineage: Eukaryota; Metazoa; Chordata; Crocodylia; Crocodylidae. The record is from Rfam by way of RNAcentral.
ACUGCCUAACAGGCAUAGCAGAAUUGUUCACAGUGCAGCCCCUGUCAGAUUCCAAUGAAUCUGGGAAUUCUGCU